Molecule: ribosomal RNA, 2908 nt
Filed under: Escherichia coli
Lineage: Bacteria; Pseudomonadati; Pseudomonadota; Gammaproteobacteria; Enterobacterales; Enterobacteriaceae
Description: 23S ribosomal RNA
Rfam family: Bacterial large subunit ribosomal RNA
Source: RNAcentral
GGUUAAGCGACUAAGCGUACACGGUGGAUGCCCUGGCAGUCAGAGGCGAUGAAGGACGUGCUAAUCUGCGAUAAGCGUCGGUAAGGUGAUAUGAACCGUUAUAACCGGCGAUUUCCGAAUGGGGAAACCCAGUGUGUUUCGACACACUAUCAUUAACUGAAUCCAUAGGUUAAUGAGGCGAACCGGGGGAACUGAAACAUCUAAGUACCCCGAGGAAAAGAAAUCAACCGAGAUUCCCCCAGUAGCGGCGAGCGAACGGGGAGCAGCCCAGAGCCUGAAUCAGUGUGUGUGUUAGUGGAAGCGUCUGGAAAGGCGCGCGAUACAGGGUGACAGCCCCGUACACAAAAAUGCACAUGCUGUGAGCUCGAUGAGUAGGGCGGGACACGUGGUAUCCUGUCUGAAUAUGGGGGGACCAUCCUCCAAGGCUAAAUACUCCUGACUGACCGAUAGUGAACCAGUACCGUGAGGGAAAGGCGAAAAGAACCCCGGCGAGGGGAGUGAAAAAGAACCUGAAACCGUGUACGUACAAGCAGUGGGAGCACAGAGCAAUCUGUGUGACUGCGUACCUUUUGUAUAAUGGGUCAGCGACUUAUAUUCUGUAGCAAGGUUAACCGAAUAGGGGAGCCGAAGGGAAACCGAGUCUUAACUGGGCGUUAAGUUGCAGGGUAUAGACCCGAAACCCGGUGAUCUAGCCAUGGGCAGGUUGAAGGUUGGGUAACACUAACUGGAGGACCGAACCGACUAAUGUUGAAAAAUUAGCGGAUGACUUGUGGCUGGGGGUGAAAGGCCAAUCAAACCGGGAGAUAGCUGGUUCUCCCCGAAAGCUAUUUAGGUAGCGCCUCGUGAAUUCAUCUCCGGGGGUAGAGCACUGUUUCGGCAAGGGGGUCAUCCCGACUUACCAACCCGAUGCAAACUGCGAAUACCGGAGAAUGUUAUCACGGGAGACACACGGCGGGUGCUAACGUCCGUCGUGAAGAGGGAAACAACCCAGACCGCCAGCUAAGGUCCCAAAGUCAUGGUUAAGUGGGAAACGAUGUGGGAAGGCCCAGACAGCCAGGAUGUUGGCUUAGAAGCAGCCAUCAUUUAAAGAAAGCGUAAUAGCUCACUGGUCGAGUCGGCCUGCGCGGAAGAUGUAACGGGGCUAAACCAUGCACCGAAGCUGCGGCAGCGACGCUUAUGCGUUGUUGGGUAGGGGAGCGUUCUGUAAGCCUGUGAAGGUGUGCUGUGAGGCAUGCUGGAGGUAUCAGAAGUGCGAAUGCUGACAUAAGUAACGAUAAAGCGGGUGAAAAGCCCGCUCGCCGGAAGACCAAGGGUUCCUGUCCAACGUUAAUCGGGGCAGGGUGAGUCGACCCCUAAGGCGAGGCCGAAAGGCGUAGUCGAUGGGAAACAGGUUAAUAUUCCUGUACUUGGUGUUACUGCGAAGGGGGGACGGAGAAGGCUAUGUUGGCCGGGCGACGGUUGUCCCGGUUUAAGCGUGUAGGCUGGUUUUCCAGGCAAAUCCGGAAAAUCAAGGCUGAGGCGUGAUGACGAGGCACUACGGUGCUGAAGCAACAAAUGCCCUGCUUCCAGGAAAAGCCUCUAAGCAUCAGGUAACAUCAAAUCGUACCCCAAACCGACACAGGUGGUCAGGUAGAGAAUACCAAGGCGCUUGAGAGAACUCGGGUGAAGGAACUAGGCAAAAUGGUGCCGUAACUUCGGGAGAAGGCACGCUGAUAUGUAGGUGAAGUCCCUCGCGGAUGGAGCUGAAAUCAGUCGAAGAUACCAGCUGGCUGCAACUGUUUAUUAAAAACACAGCACUGUGCAAACACGAAAGUGGACGUAUACGGUGUGACGCCUGCCCGGUGCCGGAAGGUUAAUUGAUGGGGUUAGCGGUAACGCGAAGCUCUUGAUCGAAGCCCCGGUAAACGGCGGCCGUAACUAUAACGGUCCUAAGGUAGCGAAAUUCCUUGUCGGGUAAGUUCCGACCUGCACGAAUGGCGUAAUGAUGGCCAGGCUGUCUCCACCCGAGACUCAGUGAAAUUGAACUCGCUGUGAAGAUGCAGUGUACCCGCGGCAAGACGGAAAGACCCCGUGAACCUUUACUAUAGCUUGACACUGAACAUUGAGCCUUGAUGUGUAGGAUAGGUGGGAGGCUUAGAAGUGUGGACGCCAGUCUGCAUGGAGCCGGCCUUGAAAUACCACCCUUUAAUGUUUGAUGUUCUAACGUUGGCCCCUGAUCGGGGUUGCGGACAGUGUCUGGUGGGUAGUUUGACUGGGGCGGUCUCCUCCUAAAGAGUAACGGAGGAGCACGAAGGUUGGCUAAUCCUGGUCGGACAUCAGGAGGUUAGUGCAAUGGCAUAAGCCAGCUUGACUGCGAGCGUGACGGCGCGAGCAGGUGCGAAAGCAGGUCAUAGUGAUCCGGUGGUUCUGAAUGGAAGGGCCAUCGCUCAACGGAUAAAAGGUACUCCGGGGAUAACAGGCUGAUACCGCCCAAGAGUUCAUAUCGACGGCGGUGUUUGGCACCUCGAUGUCGGCUCAUCACAUCCUGGGGCUGAAGUAGGUCCCAAGGGUAUGGCUGUUCGCCAUUUAAAGUGGUACGCGAGCUGGGUUUAGAACGUCGUGAGACAGUUCGGUCCCUAUCUGCCGUGGGCGCUGGAGAACUGAGGGGGGCUGCUCCUAGUACGAGAGGACCGGAGUGGACGCAUCACUGGUGUUCGGGUUGUCAUGCCAAUGGCACUGCCCGGUAGCUAAAUGCGGAAGAGAUAAGUGCUGAAAGCAUCUAAGCACGAAACUUGCCCCGAGAUGAGUUCUCCCUGACUCCUUGAGAGUCCUGAAGGAACGUUGAAGACGACGACGUUGAUAGGCCGGGUGUGUAAGCGCAGCGAUGCGUUGAGCUAACCGGUACUAAUGAACCGUGAGGCUUAACCUU